RNAcentral lists this ribosomal RNA (334 nucleotides) under uncultured soil bacterium. RNAcentral's name for it is "bacterial SSU rRNA". It matches the Rfam family "Bacterial small subunit ribosomal RNA", at positions 26 to 363 of the family's 1533-position model. The record is from RNAcentral.
AGAUUGAACGCUGGCGGCAGGCCUAACACAUGCAAGUCGAGCGGUAGAGAGGUGCUUGCAUCUCUUGAGAGCGGCGGACGGGUGAGUAAUGCCUAGGAAUCUGCCUAGUGGUGGGGGAUAACGUUCGGAAACGGACGCUAAUACCGCGUACGUCCUACGGGAGAAAGCGGGGGACCUUCGGGCCUCGCGCCAUUAGAUGAGCCUAGGUCGGAUUAGCUAGUUGGUGAGGUAAUGGCUCACCAAGGCGACGAUCCGUAACUGGUCUGAGAGGAUGAUCAGUCACACUGGAACUGAGACACGGUCCAGACUCCUACGGGAGCAGCAGUGGGGAAUA